Molecule: ribosomal RNA, 236 nt
Filed under: uncultured Staphylococcus sp.
Lineage: Bacteria; Bacillati; Bacillota; Bacilli; Caryophanales; Staphylococcaceae
Description: partial 16S ribosomal RNA
Rfam family: Bacterial small subunit ribosomal RNA
Source: RNAcentral
UAUAAGACUGGGAUAACGUCCUGGAAACCCGGGGGACGUAAUACCGGAUAACACAUGAAACCGCAUGGUUUCAUGAUGAAAGACGGUUUUGCUGUCACUUAUAGAUGGACCCGCGGCGUAUUAGCUAGUUGGUAAGGUAACGGCUUACCAAGGCAACGAUACGUAGCCGACCUGAGAGGGUGAUCGGCCACACUGGAACUGAGACACGGUCCAGACUCCUACGGGAGGCAGCAGUC